RNAcentral lists this ribosomal RNA (258 nucleotides) under Triticum aestivum (bread wheat). RNAcentral describes it as "partial small subunit ribosomal RNA". The record is from RNAcentral. Lineage: Eukaryota; Viridiplantae; Streptophyta; Magnoliopsida; Poales; Poaceae.
AUGGAGCUGGCCGCUUCAGCUUCGGUGUCCGUCUGCUCGGCGUACCACCACCUCUCAACGCCGGCUGAGGCCAACGACGACAGCACACGGUCCCAACCGCAGCUGCAGCGCCGGAGGAAACAGGCCGCCGGCAGUGGCAUCGGCGGGCUCCGGUCCCGGUGCCAUGCUGUUCUGAAGCAGCAGAGGACGAGGCUGUACAUCCUCCGGCGGUGUGUCUCGAUGCUGCUGUGCUGGAACGAGCACGACAUGUCCGACUGA